GACGAACCGAGCGAACGUUAUUCGGAAUCACUGGGCUUAAAGGGCGCGUAGGCGGGCGAUCAAGUCAGGGGUGAAAGCCCCCAGCUCAACUGGGGAAGUGCCUCUGAUACUGGUCAUCUCGAGGGAGGUAGGGGCGUGCGGAACUUCCGGUGGAGCGGUGAAAUGCGUAGAUAUCGGAAGGAACGUCGGUGGCGAAAGCGGCGCGCUGGACCUCUUCUGACGCUGAGGCGCGAAAGCCAGGGGAGCAAACGGG
Molecule: ribosomal RNA, 253 nt
Filed under: uncultured bacterium
Lineage: Bacteria
Description: partial 16S ribosomal RNA
Rfam family: Bacterial small subunit ribosomal RNA
Source: RNAcentral